RNAcentral lists this small nuclear RNA (108 nucleotides) under Salvator merianae (Argentine black and white tegu). Lineage: Eukaryota; Metazoa; Chordata; Lepidosauria; Squamata; Teiidae. The record is from RNAcentral.
GUGCUCACUUUGGCAGCAGAUAUCCUAAAACUGAAACAAUACAGAGAAGAUUGGCAUGGCCCAUACACAAAGGAUGACACGCAAAUUUGUCAAGCAUUCCAUAUUUUG